Molecule: ribosomal RNA, 734 nt
Filed under: bacterium
Lineage: Bacteria
Description: bacterial SSU rRNA
Rfam family: Bacterial small subunit ribosomal RNA
Source: RNAcentral
UCUGGAGGAAUACCGGUGGACGAAGGCGGCCCCUGGACAAAGACUGACGCUCAGGUGCGAAAGCGUGGGGAGCAAACAGGAUUAGAUACCUGGUAGUCACGCCGUAAACGAUGUCGACUUGGAGGUUGUGCCCUGAGGCGUGGCUUCCGGAGCUAACGCGUUAAGUCGACCGCUGGGGAGUACGGCCGCAAGGUUAAAACUCAAAUGAAUUGACGGGGGCCCGCACAAGCGGUGGAGCAUGUGGUUUAAUUCGAUGCAACGCGAAGAACCUUACCUACUCUUGACAUCCAGAGAACUUAGCAGAGAUGCUUUGGUGCCUUCGGGAACUCUGAGACAGGUGCUGCAUGGCUGUCGUCAGCUCGUGUUGUGAAAUGUUGGGUUAAGUCCCGCAACGAGCGCAACCCUUAUCCUUUGUUGCCAGCGAUUAGGUCGGGAACUCAAAGGAGACUGCCAGUGAUAAACUGGAGGAAGGUGGGGAUGACGUCAAGUCAUCAUGGCCCUUACGAGUAGGGCUACACACGUGCUACAAUGGCAUAUACAAAGAGAAGCGACCUCGCGAGAGCAAGCGGACCUCAUAAAGUAUGUCGUAGUCCGGAUUGGAGUCUGCAACUCGACUCCAUGAAGUCGGAAUCGCUAGUAAUCGUAGAUCAGAAUGCUACGGUGAAUACGUUCCCGGGCCUUGUACACUCCGCCUUCACACCAUGGGAGUGGGUUGCAAAAGAAGUAGGUAGCUA